CGCGUAGGCGGCUUGGCAAGUGGACGGUGAAAUCCCUCGGCUUAACCGAGGAACUGCCGUCCAAACUGCUUUGCUUGAGGCCGGGAGAGGCGAGUGGAAUUCCCAGUGUAGCGGUGAAAUGCGUAGAUAUUGGGAGGAACACCAGUGGCGAAGGCGGCUCGCUGGACCGGUUCUGACGCUGACGCGCGAAAGCGUGGGGAGCAAACG
RNAcentral lists this ribosomal RNA (207 nucleotides) under uncultured bacterium. RNAcentral describes it as "partial 16S ribosomal RNA". It matches the Rfam family "Bacterial small subunit ribosomal RNA", at positions 568 to 774 of the family's 1533-position model. The record is from RNAcentral.